ACUCUUUUCUCUUGACAGUUUAGUUUAUUCUUUUUUCUGUGUUUAGAAAGCCCCCUCCCACUCAUUAGCCUCUACUAACACCCAAGGCAGGGGUACAGAACAAGGACUGAGAACAAACCAAGCUCUCCUCUUGAAAGCAAACCAAAGUAAAACUGCAGUCAUUACUGGUGCAUACGGUGCCAUUACAGGAAACUUGAGGAGGAAAAUUGAAUAAUUGAAGCCACCAUUUACUUGACAUCAACUCUUUGCUAGGAAACAGUGGGAAAAGGCAAGCACCGCUCUCAGCUAUCUGGAAAUUGCUCUGACCCAGUGUGUAAAACCUCUUGGGCACUCAACAAAAGGACAGCUCAAGCAUGUUUCCUUCCUGAGGACAAAGGCUUUGUUUCUGUGAGGAAGCAUGUCCAGACAAGGCACCAUGCCAGAGCAAGAUAAUUGUGCUACAAAAUUGAUGCCAUACAAAUGGACAAAGAAUUUGCAGCCAAAAAUGUACAAAAAAGAAUGUGAGACACUUGAGGGCAGGAGUGGAACUGUCUUCUUCACUAUUUCAAGGGCCAGGAAAGGGAGUGACAUUGAGAAGAGACUGAAUAAAAAGUUAUUAAAUGAAGGAAUGGAUUUAAAAGCACCCUGAUCUGCAGUGUACCUGAAACAGCAUAUACUUCAUAUCACAACUGUAGUAUCUUCAUCCUUGCUCAUGUUUUUUCCACUGCACUAAAGUGCUUCUUUAAAUAGAAGAAUCAAAAUAGUGGGAUUCAAUGAUAAGUAGAUGCUAUUUUGAAAUUUUAUUUUGAUUAGAAAUGGAUUGCAGUAAUAUUUUUACUUUCUGUGGAAUGGUUAUGUACAUAAUAAAUACUCUGCCU
This 857-nucleotide long non-coding RNA is filed under the name Homo sapiens (human). Its description in RNAcentral is "HSALNT0039115". Lineage: Eukaryota; Metazoa; Chordata; Mammalia; Primates; Hominidae. The record is from RNAcentral.